CCUGACAGUGGCAUCGGCCAUGGGAUCUAGGGAUGCCACCGGAAAUGUCACAACUAGUUGCCAAUGCCACGAUUUCAGGCAGCCCCUACUGCAGUAAGGGAGAAAUAGAGAGAGAGAGAGAGAGAAAAAAAAGAGUGAUCAACCUCAAGGUUACACCGGUCAUCACUUCCUGUUUUGCGGCCAUGUUCACGGUGGCUGCCUCGUGCGCUGUCGAAUCCAAACGUAGAUAAAGCCUGUUUUCAUCCACGGGCAGUGAGACCGGAGGAUUUCUGCCGACCAAGCGAGGGUAAUUGCUGGAACGCUCAGUCCUUAAUUGAUCACUCGGUGGUUACAGCUCAGAAACUGCAACUUCACUACAAUCGACAAGUAGUUCAAGUCGAACGCUGUGAGGGAAAGAGUUGAGCCGCAUGCCAUGAAAGCUCCUCAAGAUACCUCCGGUGAGGAUGAUAAUGCUAACACGAGUGUUAUGCUAAAUGUGCAAGCUCAUUGUAAUGUGAAAUGCCGCCGUACAAAACCAAUCGGAGAUAUGACUUUUCUUCUUACUGUUGACUGUUGAUGUCUUAUAAACACGGUUUCAAGUAGUUUUAUAUUGUUAAAAAUGCUUAUAAAAGAUCGCUAAUCGCGCUAGCCGCGUGCUAAUCGCUGGCAUUUGAAUGUGGAUUUGGUUGUUUUAGUUCUGCUGCUAGCACGGUUAAGCUAGUUACCAUUGUAGCACAUCUUUUUCACCGUUAAAUGUGCCUUUAGACUCUGUUUAUAACAUAGAAAUCACUUGAUUGAGGGAAUGUUUAUCCUCUUGUCUAUAUGCAAAAUAUGGGUGAUUUAAUGCAUUUAAUUACCAACAUGUUAUAUAUGUAUGUUAUAUGGAUAUGAGAGGUAACAAAAGUUAUCUAACUGCUAAAAUGAUAAAUAUAUUAAAAUGUUUAAAAGGUGAUGGUUAAAAUGUUAAAAUGCAUAAAUAGAUUUAAAAGGUUAAAAAACAUAAAUAUAUGGUUUCAUAAAUUUCAUGAUUUUAUUUCUAUACUGUGAGGUGGAAAUACAUGAUUGAUUGAUUGUUCAUUAGAGGUGACCAAUCCAUGGUGUGAUGUGUGCAUAUUCAUUUACAUAAUGAUUAGAGUAUUCAUAUCCUUAACAAUUGGGUAUAUUUGAUUUGAUAUUUGAAUGGAGAUGACUUGAUCAGAUUUAAACAGAAAUGAAAUAAUAGUAACUAAUGCAUUCUGUACUGUAUGUAUAGAUUGGUUUUAGAGAGAGAGACAGAGAUCAUCUGAAUCUGACUCUAGCAGUCAGUGCCAACUGCAGAAUCAACGAAAGGACCAAGAGCCUGGUGUAGCCAGCCAUGGCGUUUUGGAAUCGUCUUCAUCCUACUACUUCAUUUGAAACACAGAUAAGAACACACGUAAGAACAAGUCUACCCAGGUAGUGAAGGAACACAUUUUACUGAAUACACACACCAAGAGCUCUCAUGAAUUCUGGAAAGAGCAGCUUUAUUUCCUUUAACUUUGAAUGAAAUCUCAUAAAGGCACACUUUUUGUUGCGAUUAUUUAUUUUCUUGGGCCCUUAUAACAUGCGUAUGUGCAUUUAGGAAACCGACUUAGGUAGGCAGGGUUUGUAAUUGAUUUUUUGUAUAAUAUAAUUUUGUAAACCUA
Molecule: long non-coding RNA, 1643 nt
Organism: Mugil cephalus (flathead mullet)
Lineage: Eukaryota; Metazoa; Chordata; Actinopteri; Mugiliformes; Mugilidae
Exons: 4
Source: RefSeq, a predicted model, not a curated record